ACAAAGACAUAUUAAAGAAAGGAAACAAAAUUGCAUAGAAUAAGUGAAGGAAUACAAUUUUUAAAUAGCAAGUAUUUAAAGACACUGAAAAUUGUGUUUAUCCUACUCAAAGGUUCAUUUAUGCAUGCCUGAAUACAGCAAGCAUUUCGUGAGUGUCUGAUUUGCCAACCAAAGAUGACAAAGACAUAGUUUCCAUCCCUAAGUAGGGACAGAUUGGCAUGAAACAGGAAGCAAUAAUAUGUACAGGGGAGUUAUACAAGAUUUUAUGGUAGCACGGAGAAGGGACAACUUAAAUGCUCUCUUCUAGAUUAUAGAGUGAUGACUCUAUUUGGGCAGUGUAAUUAUGUUUUGAAGAAAUUUGUGGAAGAAACUGAGAAACAAGUUUCUUUGGUCAGUUCUUGAUGUUCCUAUCCACAAUGUUUCUGUAAAAGGAAAACCUAUUAUUUUGGUGAUCUCAGAAGUCACUACAGUUUUCCCCUUGGUUCUUGACAUUGCACGGGGGUAGUUUCAGAAGAGGAAGGCCCAGCACACAGCUAAAUAUAGCACAGUGAGGCGCACAGAGUUAACUGCUAGAAACAUUCUUUUUGCAACCAUUCUUUUUAUUUUCCUCAUGAAGCAAUGAAAAAUCUCAACAACUUGAACAGUUUUCCAUCUCAACAUUAUAUUUUACAAAACAUACACAAAAAUGGAAUAGUUAAAUGAUCCACUAAGGAAGAAACGUAUAAAUAUAUAUGCACACACUUUGGGUACAGCCAUUUGAGUCUGUUGGAAGCCAGGAGGUGGCGCUGCAGGCUAAAGAGACAGAAUAGAGACUUGAACUAAGAAUGCUGCAGAAGUCACUAACAAACAAAAAGGAAGAACGCAGCAGGCAGGCUGGGAGAAAAGCCAUAGCUGCUCAAGACUGCGGAAAGAAAACACCAUUCCAGACCCCUGCCGCUACGUGGUGUAGGUCUGGGGUUUGCAACUGCUGUUUCUUGGUGCUGGGAGCUGUGAUUGUGACCGAUAUUGACAAAAGAUGCGUUCAGAAGAAGCUGUGGAGGCUGGAGGGUUGUGCUGCCCAAGACAAAGGCAAGUCCUGUUUCUCUUUCUGUUUUGGAGAGUGUCCUUGGCGGGAUCUGUGUUGGGACGAUACUCAGUGACAGAAGAAACAGAGAGAGGGUCAUUUGUGGUCAAUCUGGCAAAGGAUCUGGGGCUAGGGGAUCGGGAGCUGGUUGCAAGGGGAGCCCGGGUGGUCUUUGAUGAUAACAAACAACACUUGCUCCUGGAUUCUCAUACUGGGGAUUUGGUCACAAAUGAGAUACUGGAUCGGGAGAAGCUGUGUGGCUCCACAGAACCCUGUAUGCUGUAUUUCCAAAUUUUAAUGGAUAACCCCUUUCAGAUUUACCGGGCUGAGUUGAGGGUUGAGGACAUAAAUGAUCAUUCACCAGUGUUUCAGAACAAAGAAACAGUCUUAAAAAUAAUAGAAAAUGCAGCUGAAGGGGCAACAUUUCGACUAGAAAGAGCACAGGAUUCAGAUGGAGGACUUAAUGGCAUCCAAAACUACACCAUCAAUCCCAACUCUUUUUUUCAUAUUAAAAUUGGUGACAGUGAUGAAGGCAUGAUAUAUCCAGAGCUAGUGUUGGACAAGGCGCUGGACAGGGAGAAGCAGCAAGAACUCAGUUUAACACUCACGGCGCUGGAUGGUGGGUCUCCACCCAGAUCUGGGACUUCCACUGUCCGCAUUGUGAUCCUGGAUGUCAAUGACAAUGCCCCACAAUUUUCUCAGGCAAUCUACCAGACCCAGGCCCCAGAGAACAGCCCAGUGGGUUCCAUUAUUGCUACAGUCUCUGCAGUAGAUGUAGACUCUGGAGUCUAUGCAGACAUAGCCUAUUCGUUUUUUGAUGCUUCUGAAGAUAUUCGCUCAACCUUUCAAAUCAAUCCCUUUUCUGGGGAAAUCGUUCUCAGAGUGUUGCUUGAUUAUGAGCUAGUAAAGUCUUACAAAAUAAAUAUACAGGCAGUCGACGGUGGCGGCCUUUCUGCAAGGUGUACGGUUUUGGUUGAGGUGUUAGACACCAAUGACAAUCCCCCGGAGCUGAUCAUGUCAUCACUUUCCACCCAUGUUCCUGAGAACUCGCCUGAGAUGAUAUUGGCUGUUUUUAGAAUUAAAGACAGAGACUCUGGAGAAAACGGGAAAAUGGUUUGCUCCAUCCAAGAGAAUCUGCCAUUCCUUCUGAAACCCUCUGUGGAGAAUUUUUACAUUCUAAUGACAGAAGGAGCUCUGGACAGAGAAAGCCAAGCAGAGUACAACGUCACCAUCACCGUCACCGACUUGGGGACCCCCAGGCUGGAAACCCAGCACAACAUCACCCUGCUGGUGUCCGACGUCAACGACAACGCCCCCGCCUUCACCCAAACCGCCUACACCCUGUUCCUCCGCGAGAACAACAGCCCCGCCCUGCACAUCGGCAGCGUCAGCGCCACAGACAGCGACGCGGGCGCCAACGCCCAGCUCACCUACUCGCUGCUGCCGCCCCACGACCCGCGCCUGCCCCUGGCCUCGCUCGUGUCCAUCAACGCGGACAACGGCCACCUGUUCGCCCUGCGGGCGCUGGACUUCGAGGCGCUGCCGGCGUUCGAGUUCCGCGUGGGCGCCACGGACCGCGGGUCCCCCGCGCUGAGCAGCCAGGCGCUGGUGCGCGUGCAGGUGCUGGACGCCAACGACCACGCGCCCUUCGUGCUGUACCCGCUGCAGAACGGCUCCGCGCCCUGCACCGAGCUGGUGCCCAGGGCGGCCGAGCCGGGCUACCUGGUGAGCAAGGUGGUGGCGGUGGACGCGGACUCGGGCCAGAACGCCUGGCUGUCGUUCCAGCUGCUCAAGGCCACGGAGCCCGGGCUGUUCGGCGUGUGGGCGCACAAUGGCGAGGUGCGCACGGCGCGGCUGCUGAGCGAGCGCGACGCGGCCCGGCACCGGCUGCUGGUGCUGGUCAGGGACCAUGGCGAGCCCGCGCUGUCGGCCAGCGUCACGCUGCACGUGCUGCUGGUGGACGGCUUCUCGCAGCCCCACCUGCCGCUGCCCGAAGCGGCGGCCGACCCGGCGCCGGCCGACCCGCUGACCGUGCCCCUGGUCAUCGCGCUGGCGGCGGUGUCGUCGCUGUUCCUGUUCUCGGUGCUGGCGUUCAUCGCGGUGCGGCUGUGCAGGCGGAGCAGGGCCGCCUGGGUGGGUGGCUGCUCGGUGCCUGAGGGCCCCUUUCCGGGCCGCCUGGUGGACGUCAGCGGCACCGGGACCCUGUCCCAGAGCUACCAGUAUGAGGUGUGUCUGAUGGGAGGUACUGGGACAGAUGAGUUUAAAUUUCUGAAGCCGAUUAUUCCCAAUCUUCCAGCCCAUGACACUGGUAGAAAUGUAGAGGAAAAUGAGAACUUCAGGAAUAGCUUUGGAGUCAACAUCCAAUAAAAUUUUUAUUUUAAACAUUUAGUCUUUCAUUAUUCUUGGCAAACUGGUAAGAUUUUGCCAAUUUAUAGUGGAUUUCAGUUGUACAGUAGUUGCAUGUAUUAUUCCUGAAGCUCUUGCAUUUUGCUUUACAAAUCUUUAUUAGUUUGUGUGUUUUCUGUUUGUUUGUUUGUUUUCAUUUAUUUUUUCAAAAAUGGCAUAUUGGGCUGGCCAGGUCGCUCAGUUGGUUAUAAAGUCAUCCUGAUACAUCAAGGUUGCGAGUUCAAUUCCUUUUUAGGACUCACACAAGUAUCAACCAAUGAAUGCAUUACAUAGGUUUAAAUGAGUGAAACAACAAAAUGAUGCUUCUCUCUAAAAUCAACCAGUGGUAGAGCAUGGGCCUUUGAACCAAAGGAUAUCAGGGUUGGAUUCCUGGUCAAGGGCAGGCACCUGGGUUGCAGGUGGGAGGCAACCAAUCCAGG
Myotis davidii is the source of this 3888-nucleotide RNA transcript. It is a transcript of the gene named protocadherin beta-10, with no coding region annotated. Lineage: Eukaryota; Metazoa; Chordata; Mammalia; Chiroptera; Vespertilionidae. The record is from RefSeq and is a predicted model, not a curated record. The transcript is spliced from 3 exons.